AAAAAAGAGCUCGACCAACGACCGCUCUUCUUCUCCAGUGACGGAAAUUAGGGUUUCCAUCUUCAGAGACGACCGACGACCAACCUAGGUAUUUUUUCUUCUCCUUUCUUCUUGUUUUUUCUUUCUUCUUCAUCUUCUUCUUCCAUCUUCUUCUUCUUUCACUCUGUCGACGUCGACGACCAACCCAGGGUUUCCAUCUUUUUUUAAUUUUUUUUUCAUGUUGACAGUCGACGAACAGAGCUUUAGUCGACGAACAGAGUU
This 261-nucleotide long non-coding RNA is filed under the name Nicotiana benthamiana. Its description in RNAcentral is "long non-coding RNA (NBEN_LNC026014)". The record is from RNAcentral. Lineage: Eukaryota; Viridiplantae; Streptophyta; Magnoliopsida; Solanales; Solanaceae.